UGGGGAAUCUUGGACAAUGGGGGCAACCCUGAUCCAGCCAUGCCGCGUGAGUGAUGAAGGCCUUAGGGUCGUAAAGCUCUUUCGCCUGUGAAGAUAAUGACGGUAGCCGGAGAAGAAGCCCCGGCUAACUCCGUGCCAGCAGCCGCGGUAAUACGGAGGGGGCUAGCGUUGUUCGGAAUUACUGGGCGUAAAGCGCGCGUAGGCGGACUGAUCAGUCAGGGGUGAAAUCCCGGGGGCUCAACCCCGGAACUGCCUUUGAUACUGUCAGUCUUGAGUCCGGAAGAGGCGAGUGGAAUACCGAGUGUAGAGGUGAAAUUCGUAGAUAUUAGGUGGAACACCAGUGGCGAAGGCGCCUAACUGGUCCGGUACUGACGCUGAGGAACGAAAAGCGUGGGGAGCAAACAGGAUUAGAUACCCUGGUAGUCCACGCCGUAAACGAUGAGUGCUAGAUGUUGGGAUUUUCGGAUUUCAGUGUCGCAGCUAACGCAUUAAGCACUCCGCCUGGGAGUACGGCCGCAAGG
This 521-nucleotide ribosomal RNA is filed under the name uncultured bacterium. Its description in RNAcentral is "bacterial SSU rRNA". It matches the Rfam family "Bacterial small subunit ribosomal RNA", at positions 355 to 893 of the family's 1533-position model. The record is from RNAcentral.